GGUAAAGCUAUCCUUGUUUCUCCGUCCUCUUCUUCUUCCGAGAGCGAAACAAUGUUAGUUCGCCACAACUCUCGAUUUGCUGAAAAC
This 87-nucleotide small RNA is filed under the name Arabidopsis thaliana (thale cress). RNAcentral's name for it is "ATSL265540". The record is from RNAcentral. Lineage: Eukaryota; Viridiplantae; Streptophyta; Magnoliopsida; Brassicales; Brassicaceae.